UAUACAGCGAAACUGCGAAUGGCUCAUUAAAUCAGUUAUCGUUUAUUUGAUAGUACCUUACUACAUGGAUAACCGUGGUAAUUCUAGAGCUAAUACAUGCUAAAAAUCCCGACUUCGGAAGGGAUGUAUUUAUUAGAUUAAAAACCAAUGCCCUUCGGGGCUCUCUGGUGAUUCAUAAUAACUUCUCGAAUCGCACGGCCUUGCGCCGGCGAUGGUUCAUUCAAAUUUCUGCCCUAUCAACUUUCGACGGCUGGGUCUUGGCCAGCCGUGGUGACAACGGGUAACGGAGGGUUAGGGCUCGACCCCGGAGAAGGAGCCUGAGAAACGGCUACUACAUCCAAGGAAGGCAGCAGGCGCGCAAAUUACCCAACCCCGACACGGGGAGGUAGUGACAAUAAAUACUGAUACAGGGCCCUUUCGGGUCUUGUAAUUGGAAUGAGUACAAUUUAAAUCCCUUAACGAGGAACAAUUGGAGGGCAAGUCUGGUGCCAGCAGCCGCGGUAAUUCCAGCUCCAAUAGCGUAUGUUAAAGUUGUUGAGGUUAAAAAGCUCGUAGUUGAACCUUGGGCCUAGCCGGCCGGUCCGCCUCACCGCGUGCACUGGCUCGGCUGGGUCUUUCCUUCUGGAGAACCGCAUGCCCUUCACUGGGUGUGCCGGGGAACCAGGACUUUUACUCUGAACAAAUAGAUCGCUU
RNAcentral lists this ribosomal RNA (693 nucleotides) under Acrophialophora major. RNAcentral describes it as "SSU rRNA". It matches the Rfam family "Eukaryotic small subunit ribosomal RNA", at positions 75 to 776 of the family's 1831-position model. The record is from RNAcentral. Lineage: Eukaryota; Fungi; Ascomycota; Sordariomycetes; Sordariales; Chaetomiaceae.